RNAcentral lists this ribosomal RNA (465 nucleotides) under uncultured bacterium. RNAcentral's name for it is "partial 16S ribosomal RNA". It matches the Rfam family "Bacterial small subunit ribosomal RNA", at positions 338 to 795 of the family's 1533-position model. The record is from RNAcentral.
CCUACGUGAGGCAGCAGUAGGGAAUCUUCCACAAUGGGCGAAAGCCUGAUGGAGCAACGCCGCGUGGGUGAAGAAGGUCUUCGGAUCGUAAAACCCUGUUGUUAGAGAAGAAAGUGCGUGAGAGUAACUGUUCACGUUUCGACGGUAUCUAACCAGAAAGCCACGGCUAACUACGUGCCAGCAGCCGCGGUAAUACGUAGGUGGCAAGCGUUAUCCGGAUUUAUUGGGCGUAAAGGGAACGCAGGCGGUCUUUUAAGUCUGAUGUGAAAGCCUUCGGCUUAACCGGAGUAGUGCAUUGGAAACUGGGAGACUUGAGUGCAGAAGAGGAGAGUGGAACUCCAUGUGUAGCGGUGAAAUGCGUAGAUAUAUGGAAGAACACCAGUGGCGAAAGCGGCUCUCUGGUCUGUAACUGACGCUGAGGUUCGAAAGCGCGGGUAUCGAACAGGAUUAGAUACCCUAGUAGUC